This 270-nucleotide ribosomal RNA is filed under the name Triticum aestivum (bread wheat). RNAcentral's name for it is "partial small subunit ribosomal RNA". Lineage: Eukaryota; Viridiplantae; Streptophyta; Magnoliopsida; Poales; Poaceae. The record is from RNAcentral.
AUGUCGGCGCUCGAGAUUCUUGAGUUUGUUAUGGCUGUAGGUUGCUAUCCAAAUGUCUCUGUUUCCUAUUGGAUCCUCUUAACAAUGCAUGUGACUGUAGCCUCAGCUGAAAGAAGUUUCUCUAAACUGAAACUACUGAAAAAUUGUUUGAGGUCAACUAUGUUGCAAGAUAGAUCGAAUGACUUGGCUAUGUGCCGCAUUGAGAAGGAUAUCUUGGACAAUGUUGAUCAUGAUAUUGCCCUAAAUGACUUUGCAUCAAGAAACGUCUGA